RNAcentral lists this ribosomal RNA (245 nucleotides) under uncultured bacterium. Its description in RNAcentral is "partial 16S ribosomal RNA". It matches the Rfam family "Bacterial small subunit ribosomal RNA", at positions 332 to 570 of the family's 1533-position model. The record is from RNAcentral.
UACUGCCUACGGGGCGCAGCAGUAGGGAAUCUUCCACAAUGGACGAAAGUCUGAUGGAGCAACGCCGCGUGAGUGAAGAAGGGGUUCGGCUCGUAAAUCUCUGUUGGUAGUGAAGAAAGAUAGAGGUAGUAACUGGCCUUUAUUUGACGGUAAUUACUUAGAAAGUCACGGCUAACUACGUGCCAGCAGCCGCGGUAAUACGUAGGUGGCAAGCGUCGCCCGGAUUUAUUGGGCGUAAAGCGAGC